RNAcentral lists this ribosomal RNA (542 nucleotides) under Aspergillus fumigatus. RNAcentral's name for it is "eukaryotic LSU rRNA". The stretch from base 168 to 321 matches the Rfam family "5.8S ribosomal RNA". The record is from RNAcentral. Lineage: Eukaryota; Fungi; Ascomycota; Eurotiomycetes; Eurotiales; Aspergillaceae.
UGGGUCCACCUCCCACCCGUGUCUAUCGUACCUUGUUGCUUCGGCGGGCCCGCCGUUUCACGGCCGCCGGGGAGGCCUUGCGCCCCCGGGCCCGCGCCCGCCGAAGACCCCAACAUGAACGCUGUUCUGAAAGUAUGCAGUCUGAGUUGAUUAUCGUAAUCAGUUAAAACUUUCAACAACGGAUCUCUUGGUUCCGGCAUCGAUGAAGAACGCAGCGAAAUGCGAUAAGUAAUGUGAAUUGCAGAAUUCAGUGAAUCAUCGAGUCUUUGAACGCACAUUGCGCCCCCUGGUAUUCCGGGGGGCAUGCCUGUCCGAGCGUCAUUGCUGCCCUCAAGCACGGCUUGUGUGUUGGGCCCCCGUCCCCCUCUCCCGGGGGACGGGCCCGAAAGGCAGCGGCGGCACCGCGUCCGGUCCUCGAGCGUAUGGGGCUUUGUCACCUGCUCUGUAGGCCCGGCCGGCGCCAGCCACACCCAACUUUAUUUUUCUAAGGUUGACCUCGGAUCAGGUAGGGAUACCCGCUGAACUUAAGCAUAUCAAUAAGC